Molecule: ribosomal RNA, 520 nt
Filed under: uncultured Glomus
Lineage: Eukaryota; Fungi; Glomeromycota; Glomeromycetes; Glomerales; Glomeraceae
Description: SSU rRNA
Rfam family: Eukaryotic small subunit ribosomal RNA
Source: RNAcentral
AGCAGCCGCGGUAAUUCCAGCUCCAAUAGCGUAUAUUAAAGUUGUUGCAGUUAAAAAGCUCGUAGUUGAAUUUCGAGACCGGUUUAUUGGUCGUGCUUUUGUACGUACUGGUAUUAUUGGUUUCUCCUUUCUGACGAAUCUUAAUGCCAUUAAUUUGGUGUUUUGGGGAAUCAGGACUGUUACUUUGAAAAAAUUAGAGUGUUUAAAGCAGGCUCACGCUUGAAUACAUUAGCAUGGAAUAACGGAAUAGGACGUUUGAUUCUAUUUUGUUGGUUUCUAGGAUCGACGUAAUGAUUAAUAGGGAUAGUUGGGGGCAUUAGUAUUCAAUUGUCAGAGGUGAAAUUCUUGGAUUUAUUGAAGACUAACUACUGCGAAAGCAUUUGCCAAGGAUGUUUUCAUUAAUCAAGAACGAAAGUUAGGGGAUCGAAGACGAUCGGAUACCGUCGUAGUCUUAACCAUAAACUAUGCCGACUAGGGAUCGGAUGAUGUUAAUUUUUAAUGACUCAUUCGGCGCCUUACG